CCUACGGGCGGCAGCAGUGAGGAAUAUUGGUCAAUGGACGAGAGUCUGAACCAGCCAAGUAGCGUGAAGGAUGACUGCCCUAUGGGUUGUAAACUUCUUUUAUAAAGGAAUAAAACGAGGCACGUGUGCCUUUUUGCAUGUACUUUAUGAAUAAGGAUCGGCUAACUCCGUGCCAGCAGCCGCGGUAAUACGGAGGAUCCGAGCGUUAUCCGGAUUUAUUGGGUUUAAAGGGAGCGUAGAUGGGUUGUUAAGUCAGUUGUGAAAGUUUGCGGCUCAACCGUAAAAUUGCAAUUGAUACUGGCAGUCGUGAGUACAGUUGAGGUAAGCGGAAUUCGUGGUGUAGCGGUGAAAUGCUUAGAUAUCACGAAGAACCCCGAUUGCGAAGGCAGCUUACUAAACUGUGACUGACAUUGAUGCUCGAAAGUGUGGGUAUCAAACAGGAUUAGAUACCCGUGUAGUC
This 460-nucleotide ribosomal RNA is filed under the name uncultured bacterium. RNAcentral describes it as "partial 16S ribosomal RNA". It matches the Rfam family "Bacterial small subunit ribosomal RNA", at positions 338 to 795 of the family's 1533-position model. The record is from RNAcentral.